CCCUUCCAUCUCCAAACCGGAAAAAAACCCACAGAACCCUAGCCUCCCUACCUCUGUCCUGCUCGCUCCGCCGUCCAUCCACUCUACUGCCAGCGGCGGAGAGAAGACCCAACCCGCCGGCUUGAUCUGAGCCAUGGACAAGCAGCCCGGGGCGCAGGGGGCGGAGAAGGUGCCGGAGGAGAAGGUUCGUAUAUCACUUACCUCCCCUUCGUCCGCACAGCAACUUGAUGAGAAAGAGUUAUAAAGGAAACUGAAAAAAGAUCAAAAGG
This is a long non-coding RNA of Setaria italica (foxtail millet), 269 nucleotides long. RefSeq lists it as uncharacterized. The transcript is spliced from 3 exons. Lineage: Eukaryota; Viridiplantae; Streptophyta; Magnoliopsida; Poales; Poaceae. The record is from RefSeq and is a predicted model, not a curated record.